GAAAAAGGCAAUAGAGGCCGAGUUUGGAGAGAACAAGGAGAUUGUACAAUGGGUAUCAAACAAUUUGAAGACAAGAGAAAGUGUAUUAAGCUUAGUAGAUUCAAGAAUUCCAGAUGUAUUUAAAGAAGAUGCAAUAAAGGUAUUAAGAAUUGCAAUUUUGUGCACAGCAAGACUUCCCACUUUGAGACCCACAAUGAGAAGUGUCGUUCAAAUGCUCGAAGAAGCUCAACCUUGUCGCUUGCUUGGAAUUCUCAUUACCAAAGAUGGUGGGACUGUUAAAAAGGAAUUACCUUUGGAUGUCAAUAAAAUUAGUCUCUAAAAUCUUAAGAUUAG
Molecule: unclassified non-coding RNA, 333 nt
Filed under: Hevea brasiliensis (rubber tree)
Lineage: Eukaryota; Viridiplantae; Streptophyta; Magnoliopsida; Malpighiales; Euphorbiaceae
Source: RNAcentral